RNAcentral lists this unclassified non-coding RNA (89 nucleotides) under Pseudomonas moraviensis. Lineage: Bacteria; Pseudomonadati; Pseudomonadota; Gammaproteobacteria; Pseudomonadales; Pseudomonadaceae. The record is from RNAcentral.
UGUAGGAGUGAGCCUGCUCGCGAUAGCGGUGUGUCAGCUAACACAUCUACAUCUGACCCACCGCUAUCGCGAGCAGGCUCACUCCUACA